GCCUGGGUGGCUCAGUCGGUUAGGCAUCCGACUUCGGCUCAGGUCAUGAUCUCACGGUUUGUGAGUUCGAGCCCCACCUCAGGCU
Felis catus (domestic cat) is the source of this 85-nucleotide non-coding RNA. Lineage: Eukaryota; Metazoa; Chordata; Mammalia; Carnivora; Felidae. The record is from Rfam.